CAGAAAUCUACCCAGGUCCCCACCAGUGGACCCCGUCAGACCUGGCUGUCUUCACAGGGUCUCACUGGCUAGCAUGGCACUCAUAGAGAUGGCCUGCCUUCACCUCCAGAGUCCUGGGACUGAAAGAGGACAUCACCAUACCCUGCCUUGACACAGAUUUCAAGCGUUAAGAAACAGAC
This is a long non-coding RNA of Alexandromys fortis (reed vole), 179 nucleotides long. RefSeq lists it as uncharacterized. The transcript is spliced from 3 exons. The record is from RefSeq and is a predicted model, not a curated record. NCBI's taxonomy places the organism in Eukaryota, Metazoa, Chordata, Mammalia, Rodentia, Cricetidae.